GAUGAACGCUGGCGGCGUGCCUAAUACAUGCAAGUAGAACGCUGAAGGAAGGAGCUUGCUCUUUCCGGGUGAGUUGCGAACGGGUGAGUAACGCGUAGGUAACCUGCCUGGUAGCGGGGGAUAACUAUUGGAAACGAUAGCUAAUACCGCAUAACAGUAGAUGUUGCAUGAUAUCUACUUAAAAGGUGCAAUUGCACCACUACCAGAUGGACCUGCGUUGUAUUAGCUAGUUGGUGAGGUAACGGCUCACCAAGGCGACGAUACAUAGCCGACCUGAGAGGGUGAUCGGCCACACUGGGACUGAGACACGGCCCAGACUCCUACGGGAGGCAGCAGUAGGGAAUCUUCGGCAAUGGACGGAAGUCUGAACGAGCAACGCCGCGUGAGUGAAGAAGGUUUUCGGAUCGUAAAGCUCUGUUGUAAGAGAAGAACGAGUGUGAGAGUGGAAAGUUCACACUGUGACGGUAUCUUACCAGAAAGGGACGGCUAACUACGUG
RNAcentral lists this ribosomal RNA (497 nucleotides) under uncultured bacterium. Its description in RNAcentral is "partial 16S ribosomal RNA". It matches the Rfam family "Bacterial small subunit ribosomal RNA", at positions 28 to 507 of the family's 1533-position model. The record is from RNAcentral.